ACGUAGGGUGCAAGCGUUAAUCGGAAUUACUGGGCGUAAAGCGUGCGCAGGCGGUUUCGUAAGUCUGUCGUGAAAUCCCCGGGCUUAACCUGGGAAUGGCAUUUGGGACUGCAAGGCUCGAGUGCGGCAGAGGAGACUGGAAUUCCUGGUGUAGCAGUGAAAUGCGUAGAUAUCAGGAGGAACACCGAUGGCGAAGGCAGGUCUCUGGGCUGACACUGACGCUCAUGCACGAAAGCGUGGGGAGCAAACAGGA
RNAcentral lists this ribosomal RNA (253 nucleotides) under uncultured prokaryote. RNAcentral's name for it is "partial 16S ribosomal RNA". It matches the Rfam family "Bacterial small subunit ribosomal RNA", at positions 525 to 777 of the family's 1533-position model. The record is from RNAcentral.